This 145-nucleotide ribosomal RNA is filed under the name Gossypium hirsutum (cotton). Its description in RNAcentral is "5.8S ribosomal RNA". The stretch from base 19 to 145 matches the Rfam family "5.8S ribosomal RNA", at positions 29 to 154 of the family's 154-position model. From Rfam's summary of the family: 5.8S ribosomal RNA (5.8S rRNA) is a component of the large subunit of the eukaryotic ribosome. It is transcribed by RNA polymerase I as part of the 45S precursor that also contains 18S and 28S rRNA. Functionally, it is thought that 5.8S rRNA may be involved in ribosome translocation. The record is from Rfam by way of RNAcentral. Lineage: Eukaryota; Viridiplantae; Streptophyta; Magnoliopsida; Malvales; Malvaceae.
CACCGUUCGCGGUGUCAGUACUUCGAUGAAUAACGUAGCGAAAUGCGAUACUUGGUGUGAAUUGUAGAAUCCCGUAAACCAUCGAGUCUUUGAACGCAAGUUGCUCCCAAGCCAUUAGGCCGAGGGCACGUCUGCCUGGGUGUCA